GACGAACGCUGGCGGCGUGCCUAAUACAUGCAAGUAGAACGCUGAAGAGAGGAGCUUGCUCUUCUUGGAUGAGUUGCGAACGGGUGAGUAACGCGUAGGUAACCUGCCUGGUAGCGGGGGAUAACUAUUGGAAACGAUAGCUAAUACCGCAUAAAAUUGAUUAUUGCAUGAUAAUUAAUUGAAAGAUGCAACUGCAUCACUACCAGAUGGACCUGCGUUGUAUUAGCUAGUUGGUGAGGUAACGGCUCACCAAGGCGACGAUACAUAGCCGACCUGAGAGGGUGAUCGGCCACACUGGGACUGAGACACGGCCCCGACUCCUACGGGAGGCAGCAGUAGGGAAUCUUCGGCAAUGGGGGGAACCCUGACCGAGCAACGCCGCGUGAGUGAAGAAGGUUUUCGGAUCGUAAAGCUCUGUUGUAAGAGAAGAACGGGUGUGAGAGUGGAAAGUUCACACUGUGACGGUAUCUUACCAGAAAGGGACGGCUAACUACGUG
This 497-nucleotide ribosomal RNA is filed under the name uncultured bacterium. RNAcentral describes it as "partial 16S ribosomal RNA". It matches the Rfam family "Bacterial small subunit ribosomal RNA", at positions 28 to 507 of the family's 1533-position model. The record is from RNAcentral.